AGUUUGAUCCUGACAGUUAGACACUGGCGGGAUGCUUUACACAUGCAAGUCGGGCAGCGGCACGGACUUCGGUCUGGUGGCGAGUGGCGAACGGGUGGUAAUGUAUCCGAGACGUGCCUAAGUAGCGGGGGAUAACUACGCAGCGUAGCUAAUACCGCAUACGCCCUUCGGGGGAAAGCAGGGGACCUUCGGGCCUCGCACUAUAGAAGCGGCGGCGUCGGAUUAGCAGCUGGUUGGGUGGACAACGGCUCGCCGGGGCGACGAUCGCCAACUGGGUUUGAAGACGACCAGCCACACUGGGACUGAGACACGGCCCAGACUCCUACGGGGAGGCAGCAGUGAGGAAUUUUGAAUAAUGGGGAAACCUGAUCCAGCCAUCCGCGUGUGCGAUAGAAGGCCUUCGGUUCUCAAGCACUUUGGCCGGAAAGAAACGGCACGGGAUAAUACCCCGUGCAACUGACCGGUACCUGCAGAAUAAGCACCGGCUAACUACGUGCCAGCAGCCAUUAAUACGUGCGGUGCAGCGAUGAAAUCGGAAUUACUGGGCGUAAAGCGUGCGCGAGCGGUUCGGAAGAAAGAUGUGAAAUCCCAGAGCUUAACUUUGGAACUGCAUUUUUAACUACCGAGCUAGAGUGUGUCAGAGGGAGGUGGAAUUCACGUGUAGCAGUGAAAUGCGUAGAUAGUGCGGAGGAACACCGUGCGAAGGCAGCCUCCUGGGAUGCGCUGUGACGCUCGCGGCGACCAGGAGCAAAGCAGGACAGAUACCCUGAUCACCUAAACGAUGUUAUCAACUACUUCAUUCAGGGCCUUCGGGCCUUGGUAGCGCAGCUAACGCGUGAAGUUGACCGCCCUGAGAGUACAGUGUAGAUUAAAACUCCAAAGGAAUUGACCAGGAUUGCUGACGGUGGAUGAUGUCGGAUUAACGUUAAGUGCAACGCGAAAAACCUUACCUACCCUUGACAUGUCGAGAUCCCGAAGAGAUUUGGGAGUGCUCGCAAGAGAACCGGAACACAGGUGCUGCAUGGCUGUCGUCGCAGCUCGUGUCGUGAGAUGUUGGGUUAGUCCCGCAACGACGCAACCCUUGUCAUUAGUUGCUACGAAAGGCGCUCUAAUGAGACUGCCGGUGAUAAACCGGAGGAAGAGUCGAGAUGACGUCAGUCCUCAUGGCCCUUAUGGGUAGGGCUUCACACGUCAUACAAUGGUCAGGACAGAGGGUCGCCAACCCGCGAGAAGGCCAAUCCCAGAAGCCCGAUCGUAGUCCGGAUCACCAGUCUGCAACUCGACUGCGUGAAAUUGAAUGCUUCCCGGUAAUCGCGGAUCAGCAUGUCGCGGUGAAUACGUUCCCGAAGGUCUGUACACACCGCCCGUCACUGUGGGAGUGGGUUUUGCCAAAGUAGUUAGCCUAACCGUAAGGAGGGCGAUUACCACGUCAGGAUUCAUGACUGGGGUGAAGUCGUAACAAGGUAGCUCUGUACUGAUGCUCACAG
RNAcentral lists this ribosomal RNA (1487 nucleotides) under uncultured Bordetella sp. RNAcentral describes it as "partial 16S-23S ribosomal RNA intergenic spacer". It matches the Rfam family "Bacterial small subunit ribosomal RNA". The record is from RNAcentral. Lineage: Bacteria; Pseudomonadati; Pseudomonadota; Betaproteobacteria; Burkholderiales; Alcaligenaceae.